UGGCGCACGGGUGAGUAACACGUGGGUAAUCUACCUCUUAGUGGGGGAUAUCUCUGGGAAACUAGAGUUAAUACCGCAUAAGUUCGAGAGAAGAAAGCAGCAAUGCGCUGAGAGAGGAGCCCGCGGCCGAUUAGCUAGUUGGUAAGGUAAAGGCUUACCAAGGCUGAGAUCGGUAGCCGGCCUGAGAGGGCACACGGCCACACUGGCACUGAAACACGGGCCAG
RNAcentral lists this ribosomal RNA (224 nucleotides) under uncultured bacterium. Its description in RNAcentral is "partial 16S ribosomal RNA". It matches the Rfam family "Bacterial small subunit ribosomal RNA", at positions 96 to 334 of the family's 1533-position model. The record is from RNAcentral.